AGAGCGGGAGCCCGGAGAUGGGCACUGAGACAAGGGCCCAGGCCCUACGGGGCGCAGCAGUUGCGAAAACUCCGCAAUGCGCGAAAGCGUGACGGGGCUACCCCGAGUGCCGCCCGUUGAGGACGGCUUUUCCACGGUGUAAGGAGCCGUGGGAAUAAGGAGAGGGCAAGCCUGGUGUCAGCCGCCGCGGUAAUACCAGCUCUCCGAGUGGUGAGGACGAUUAUUGGGCUUAAAGCGUUCGUAGCCGGCUUAACAAGUCUUCCGUUAAAUCCAACGAUCUAAUCGUUGGGCCGCGGAAGAUACUGUUGAGCUAGGAGGCGGGAGAAGCCGACGGUAUUCUCGGGGUAGGGGUGAAAUCCUGUAAUCCCGGGAGGACCACCAGUGGCGAAGGCGGUCGGCU
Molecule: ribosomal RNA, 400 nt
Filed under: uncultured archaeon
Lineage: Archaea
Description: bacterial SSU rRNA
Rfam family: Archaeal small subunit ribosomal RNA
Source: RNAcentral